GAAAGUGGAUCUUAAAAGAGAUGAAUAAUUAAAUCUGCAAGAGUUUCAAAUAUCUCUUCAUAGCAUUCCAAAAUAUAACUCCCUUCUCUACUUCCCAUAACCAUGCCAAUCAGUCUCCUUACUUGCAGAAGAGGAAGGUAGUUGCUGUCUACUUUCUAUACUUCUUGGCACUUGUCCUACAACAACCAGUCGUAUCAUAUUUUUAUGCUAGUAACUUUCACUGCCCUUGCAAAGUCAUUUCUUUGAGUUGUCCUGAAAAGAACAGGAUCUCAAGGUGGGUCGUGGUGGGCAAGGAUCCCACCAGGCUUAAACUGAGGUGACAACAGGAUUUUCCAGUGGUGGGGAUCCUCUGGACCAUGGGGAAGGCAUGCAAGCGGCACUGGGAAUGGACAAGAGCAGGGCUGGAGCACAUAAAGUGGACCUGAGACGGUGGCACUGGGCUUUAUGUGUGCUAUGGGAAACAGAGAAGAACCUAAGGGAGAGGGUGUUUAUUUGAAAGCGGUGAGUUUGGAAAAUGAUAUUGAGGAAAUAAGCAGGCUGAAUAGAAGGCACCCGAAAAAGAAUGCCAGGAGAGAAAGUGAGCGACAACACCAGGGGACAAGACAAUGGUAAUUCCAUAAUUAGGUAUGAUCUGAGAUCAAUAUGGUCUGUUUGCUUUGUGUUCACUUGUCCUUCAUUCAAUUGCUGCUCUUUGGUGUUAUUUCUUGCCACGCUUUUCAAUACUUUAUGUGGCAUGUGCAGUGCAGUGUGUGUGUGUGUGUGUGUGUGUGUGUGUGUGUGUGUGUGUACGUGUGCAUUUUCCUUGAGGGAUAUUUUAAUGCAUGAUUUGUGAGUAAGUUUGGAUUCUCAAAACGUGGCAAUGCCAAAACAGAGAGAAGAAGUUGCUCAUUGCCAACUCUGAGGUGCAGUGGCAGUUCUCUUCAACAGGGGCCUGUUUUCCAGAAUCCAAAGAAGGGUAUAAGUACAGCAUCUUGCAAGUCAUGCAGCAAAACAGGAUGGCUCCUACGAAGAGCGCCAAAACCUGCAGGGAAGUUGUGCUUUGGAUGAACCUCUUACUUCUUGGGCAUGGAAGUCCUUUCACCAAGAACAGAGACAGCCCUUGCCAAAUCUAAACUCACCGGGCCUAUGUUAUUUCAGGUGAAAACACUGUGUUUGUUCCAGGCACAAACACAUACAGGUGACUCAUCAGGUUCUAAGAUGGAACAUAAUGACACAAGAGUACCAGGCACAAAACCAUGCUCUCAAGCCACUCAGAAGGCACUUUAGAUGAUGAAAACCAAACAGAAGCUGAGUGACCAACCUCCCCACCCCCAUCACACUCAGCAGGCUGAGCAGAGUCACAGAACACACACACCUGGGUGGAACAGAUGGCACCCCGGUGCUAUUGUUAUUUUACAGUCUGGCUGAAUGGCAAGCUGAACUGUCAAGGACAAUAUGUAGACUAUUGCAGUUAAACAGGGGAUUGUGUCUCCCAAGAAAGGAUUCCACCAUCUCGGUGGAGUUAAGUAUAGCUUCUCCACACAGGGGAAGUGAGGACAGCUGAGAUUUUCCAGGAGAAGUGAUUUAGAUUAUAUAAAGACCCUUAAUGAAUUAUUUCCAGGCAUUGUCUGCAGUGUCAUAUUGCUUGAGCUUUCCGUUAGCAGCUUCCUGGAAAAGAACUUCUGCUUGUCUGGGUCUUGAGUUUCUGUUGCUUACAGCAGCCAGAGUUGCCAUCUGUGCACA
This 1722-nucleotide long non-coding RNA is filed under the name Homo sapiens (human). RNAcentral's name for it is "HSALNT0265327". Lineage: Eukaryota; Metazoa; Chordata; Mammalia; Primates; Hominidae. The record is from RNAcentral.